Pipra filicauda (Wire-tailed manakin) is the source of this 472-nucleotide long non-coding RNA. RefSeq lists it as uncharacterized. Lineage: Eukaryota; Metazoa; Chordata; Aves; Passeriformes; Pipridae. The record is from RefSeq and is a predicted model, not a curated record. The transcript has 4 exons.
GCAAAGCAUAAGCUGUUUCACAAAUCUUUGUGUGGUAUAGAUGCAUUAUUCUAUAGGUAUAUUUCUGCUAUGUGGUGAAGAGAAAACACUAAAGGAUGGUAAAGUGCAACUACAGGUGGAAUCUCCUCAAGAUAUGCAGAAUGGUACUUUUUUCUUGAGCAUGAUGUUUGUGGUACUGACUCAGGAGAGGGUAAUAUCAGCUCUGUUCCCCCUUCCGAUGGAAGUAGCAUAUCAUCCUAGUACAAACAAAUCAAGUAUUUAGAGCAGGACUCAAAUGCUGAACUCCUGACUACUAGGGAAUAAUCCUAUUUCAUAUAGAUGAAUCAAGAAUACAACCAAUAGGAUCACAGAAUCAUAUAAUGCUUUGGAUCAGAAAGGACCUUCAAAGUGUGAAAAGGUAGGAGGAAUUCAACCUGGAAUGGGGUCAGCAUAUCAAGGGAUGAGCUUCAUGACCACCACCAAUGCUGGCAAG